CCCGCUGCUCCCGGCUCAGCUUCCGCUCAGCGUCCGUGAGGGAGGGUGUGGGUGCUGGGCCCCGCCCCAGGGCUCGGAGUUGACCUGGAGCCCCGGAACCGAGAAGGAAAUGAAGGUGGGGCCAAGAGACGGAAGCAGGAGAAAACUUGUUGGUACCCGAGCGCGGGCAGCGGCUGGAACCCGAGAUACGGCGUCCAUGGCACCUCGGGGCAGGGGCGCAGGCUUCGGAGACACCGUGGACUUGGGACUUAGAAGCGAGGUCCCUUCUUCCUGCUGGAUGAGCCUGGAGUGUGCUCCCUGGGGCAGAGCUGGGCGGCAGGCGCCCUGGGAAAGGUGAGGACCCGGUGAGGAGAUGGAAGACUGUGAACCAGACUCUGAACCUGCCAGAGCCUUGAUGCAGACGUCGCAGCCCCAGAACACUACCAGCCUGUGCCACAGCCACAGCAAUGCGAGAUCCGAGC
Phacochoerus africanus (Common warthog) is the source of this 461-nucleotide long non-coding RNA. RefSeq lists it as uncharacterized. The record is from RefSeq and is a predicted model, not a curated record. NCBI's taxonomy places the organism in Eukaryota, Metazoa, Chordata, Mammalia, Artiodactyla, Suidae. The transcript has 3 exons.